Molecule: ribosomal RNA, 556 nt
Filed under: uncultured Alphaproteobacteria bacterium
Lineage: Bacteria; Pseudomonadati; Pseudomonadota; Alphaproteobacteria
Description: partial 16S ribosomal RNA
Source: RNAcentral
CAUAUGGUCGACCUGCAGGCGGCCGCGAAUUCACUAGUGAUUCGUAUUACCGCGGCUGCUGGCACGAAGUUAGCCGGGGCUUCUUCUCCGGGUACCGUCAUUAUCGUCCCCGGUGAAAGGAUUUUACAAUCCUAAGACCUUCAUCAUCCACGCGGCAUGGCUGCGUCAGGCUUUCGCCCAUUGCGCAAGAUUCCCCACUGCUGCCUCCCGUAGGAGUCUGGGCCGUGUCUCAGUCCCAGUGUGGCUGGCCAUCCUCUCAGACCAGCUACUGAUCGUCGCCUUGGUGAGCCAUUACCUCACCAACUAGCUAAUCAGACGCGGGCCGCUCCAAAGGCGAUAAAUCUUUCCCCCGAAGGGCUCAUCCGGUAUUAGCACAAGCUUCCCUGUGUUGUUCCGAACCUAAGGGUACGUUCCCACGUGUUACUCACCCGUCCGCCACUAUCCCGAAGGACCGUUCGACUUGCAUGUGUUAAGCCUGCCGCCAGCGUUCGCUCUGAGCCAUGAUCAAACUCUAAUCGAAUUCCCGCGGCCGCCAUGGCGGCCGGGAGCAUGCGAC